GACGUAGGGUGCAAGCGUUAUCCGGAUUUACUGGGCGUAAAGAGCGCGUAGGCGGAUCGUUAAGUGUAGAGUGAAAUCUCCAGGGCUCAACCCGGAAACUGCUCUGCAUACUGGCGAUCUUGAGGGGCACAGAGGCAACUGGAAUUCCUGGUGAAGCGGUGAAAUGCGUAGAUAUCAGGAGGAACUCCCAUGGCGAAGGCAGGUUGCUGGGCUGAUACUGACGCUGAGGCGCGAAAGCUAGGGUAGCAAACGGG
This 254-nucleotide ribosomal RNA is filed under the name uncultured bacterium. RNAcentral's name for it is "partial 16S ribosomal RNA". It matches the Rfam family "Bacterial small subunit ribosomal RNA", at positions 524 to 776 of the family's 1533-position model. The record is from RNAcentral.